Molecule: ribosomal RNA, 499 nt
Filed under: uncultured bacterium
Lineage: Bacteria
Description: partial 16S ribosomal RNA
Rfam family: Bacterial small subunit ribosomal RNA
Source: RNAcentral
GACGAACGCUGGCGGCGUGCUUAACCCAUGCAAGUCGAACGGGCCCGCUCUCUUUUUUGGGGUUGGGUUGAGUGGCGAACGGGUGAGUAUCACGUGAGUAACCUGCCCCCUGCUCCUGGAUAACUGCUUGAAAGGGCGGCUAAUACGGGGUGUGCCGGCUGGUCCGCAUUGUCCUGGUCGGGAUUGUUUCAUCUCCGGGUGUUUCGGUGGGGCUUGGGCUCGCGGCCUAUCAGCUUGUUGGUGGGGUGAUGGACCACCAAGCCGGUGACGGGUAGCCGGCCUGAGAGGGUGGGCGGCCACACGGGGAGGGAGACACGGGCCAGAAUCCUGCGGGAGGCAGCAGUGGGGGGUAUUGCAGAAUGGGGGGAAGCCUGAUGCAGCGACGGCGCGUGAGGGAUGGAGGCCUUCGGGUUGUGAAACUCUUUCUCCGGUGGUGAAGGCUCUGUCCGUUGCGGCGGGGGUGACGGUAGCCGGGUAAGAAGCGCCGGCUAACUACGUG